AAGGUAGCAUAAUCAUUAGCCCCUUAAUUAGGGGCUUGUAUGAACGGUGAAACAUUUCACUUACUUUAUUGGUUAAUCUUUUUUAAUUUAAAUAAAGAAUAAAAAUGUUCUUAUUAUUUUAAUAGACGAUAAGACCCUUUUGAACUUUACUUUAGUUUAGCUGGGGCAGCUAAAAAAUAAUAAUCUUUCCUACCCUCUUUACUUAAACGACCCAAUAAAAUUGAGUCUCUGAACAAGUUACCAUAGGGAUAACAGCGUAAUAUCUUUUUAAAGCUCUUAUUUAAAAAGAAGAUUGCGACCUCGAUGUUGAAUUAGUGUGACCUUAUUGGUGCAAU
RNAcentral lists this ribosomal RNA (335 nucleotides) under Wagneriana eupalaestra. RNAcentral describes it as "partial large subunit ribosomal RNA". It matches the Rfam family "Bacterial large subunit ribosomal RNA", at positions 1953 to 2559 of the family's 2925-position model. Lineage: Eukaryota; Metazoa; Arthropoda; Arachnida; Araneae; Araneidae. The record is from RNAcentral.